Molecule: long non-coding RNA, 1929 nt
Filed under: Helianthus annuus (common sunflower)
Lineage: Eukaryota; Viridiplantae; Streptophyta; Magnoliopsida; Asterales; Asteraceae
Description: hypothetical non coding rna
Source: RNAcentral
UCAGUUCAACAAUAUCCCUUCAUUUAUCCAUCCAAUUAGCUAAACAAGUCACCAGAUUUACUACACGAUAUCCCUUCACUUCCCAAAAUUCUUCUUUAUCUCCCUUCAUUUCCACAAACUCAGUUCAACAAUAUCCAUCCAAUUAGCUAAACAAGUUACCAGAUUUGCUAACGAAGUUCGCAACAGUGCUCUGAACUCAAAUAUCAAAACCGAGAAAUUCAUCGGACUCCACCGACAAGCUGCACGUGCUGACGAGUCUUAUUCUAGAAGCUGUGUACCGGAGGAUGUCGUGUCACAUCUUGAGUAUUCAUCCGAAGUCCGAUUUCGAGUACCGAUUUGCAACCCUAGAUCCAGUCAUUGACCACCACAACCUCACCACUGGCAGUUGCAGUGACGUCAUCUAAUGUUUGAUGGAUUCAAAGUUUCAAAGAUCAAAUCUUUUUGACAGUUGGAAGAAAGAGAUGUAGCUGCAGUUAUUGAGCUUACAAAAUUUGCCGCACAUUAACAAAGAGAUACAAGGUUUUAUUCUUAUCCAAUGAGUUUCUGGUCAGAUUUCAAUUUAUUUAAACAUUAAACCCCUUCAUUGGCUCUGUUCAUUGUUGUUGUUUUUAUGUGCUUUUGAAUUUUGAUACAAGGUGUUGCAGGUUUUGUUUAAAAACAUACAAAUUUUUUAUUUUGGUCCAAAACUUGAACCUAUUUACACAAAUAGUUCAUUUAAUGAAAGCUUUAAAUAAAAUAAAAAUGAAAUGACCAUUUUGCCCCUGAGAAAAAGGACAAAAUAGCAGGAUUUUAUAAAAUAAAUAUGACCUGAUUUCACUUUUGGACCAAAAUGGCAAUAAAACUGAAACCACAGGGACCCAGAUGCAAAAGGUUUGAGUUUUGGACAAAAGUGACAAAAGUGACCAAACCUCAGGGACCAAAAUGGCAUUUUACUAUAAAAUAAAAUAGUUUAAAUUACAAAAAGUUGUCAUCCAUAUAUGUGAUUAUAUAUAAAAUCGAUAUAUGAGUUUUUCUAACAUAUAAAUAAAAACUAAAAAAGUUCAACUAACUGGAGGACUAUCUUGCAAAAAGACUAAAAUUUUAUUGAACUUUGUUUUAAAAUUAUAGACGAAGAGAACUUAACGUUUCGAAGUUUUAUAGAUGAGAUAAUAUUAAGGUUUGUAGCUACACUGAUUUGUAAUCAAUAAAUGUGUUUUCAAUUUAGUAGAGCUAAGAAAUAUAUUAAUUCCAAUUUAUACCCAUUUGUGAUAUUGUCAAUUAACCUUUAAUGAUGAAAAGAUUUUAUUAAUCAUAUACAAGCCUUUAACUUAUAUCAUAACUUUACAAUAACUAUUUAUUACUUAAACCGCAUAACAAUUAUUAGUAAGAAUAACAAAUCUAAUUUAUCUCAUACCAAUAGAAUUGGUUUUUUACCGAUAAAGAGAAAAAGAACAACUUAAAUAAUGAAUUUUGUAAACUGAAUUGAGGUCUAAGAGAUUAUUUUAAAUAAAAGUUAUAUUUAAAAGAUAUACAAUGACAAAAUUAUUAUUAUUUUUAUACACUGUUAUAUGUAACGUAACACGUAAUUUCGUCCAUAUUAAUAAUAUAUAAAUUUGUAUAUUACAUGUUUUUCAGUAUUCAACCUGUGUAAUACACGGCGUUUAUGGUAUUUUCAGUGUUACUAACUAAGAUGAGCCGGUUCAUAUGGUAAUAAAAAUUGUUUAUAUAACGUUUUGUUACUAAUUAACAUAGGCCAUUAGUUAUAUAAUUUUUUUUAAGAUUAUAUAAUUAUAUCAUUUAUAUUGUAGAAACUCGGGUAAUAGACGGGUCUAUAACCUAGUUAGAAUAAUAGAAUAACAUAUUGUAAUAGCUAACCGAUGAUUUGUGAAGCUCUCCUAGCAUUCUUGAUAGCAAAUUGUUUGAUCACCUAUUCGCAGUUUAUAUUCUCUA